RNAcentral lists this long non-coding RNA (1242 nucleotides) under Homo sapiens (human). Its description in RNAcentral is "LHRI_LNC92.5". The record is from RNAcentral. Lineage: Eukaryota; Metazoa; Chordata; Mammalia; Primates; Hominidae.
GGGCUGCGCUGGCUGGAAAAAGGAACGCGAGUACAGCGCGCGUGGCGCGGGGUCUGCUCCAGGACGGAAUCUUUUGGGUGGCCCGCAUGAGGGGUUUGCAGGACCCCGGGCCUUUGGGAAGUUAUCUGCUAAACUCCAGUAGACCCUGAGGAGCAGCGGCUCAUGAAUCUUCUUAAACUUCUGUCAUCAGCGGCUGGGCCAGCUGAAGGUGACCAUGGCACACGAGGGAGAGAGAAGCCCGCGAGAGGCGGAGAAAUGUGGGGUCGUCCAGGAGGGUCGACAAGGCAAAGAACCUGAAGACGACCCAAAAGGGUACCUAGAGUUGAACUUCCUCUCUUUUUAGAAGAAUGGAUUUCUCGGAGUCUGAAAAAUUUAUGGUUCUUCUCUGGAAGAAUUUUAUUUUAAAGAGGCGGCGAUGUAUUGCUUUAGUUGUGGAAAUGGUCCUCACAUUUCUGUUUAGUGCUGCGCUUUUGGCAACACGCUCUGUUAUUACUAUAAAUAAGAACGGACCUUUCGAUUUUGCUGCUCAGCCUGUCGAUGAAGUGCCUUUCUACAUCACAGCUUCCUUAAUUUCUCCUUCUCCUUUGGAAUUGGCUUACGUGCCUUCCAGAAGUACUGUGGUUCAGGGUAUUAUUGAAAGAGUGAAAAUGGAUUUAAACCCUCAAAUGAAAGGUUGAACCUGCACCAGUCAUCCAAAGCAGUGACCCAACGCUUAUCUUUAUCUUUUUGCUGUUUUAUGCCAUCGCCACAAUAUGCUUCAGCUUUAUGGUUAGCACUUUCUUCAGUAGAGAGUCUUGCUAUGUUGCUGAGGCUGGAGUACAGUGGCCUUUCUACUACAAUGAGGAAUUCUGCCUUGGGACUUGAGAGAGGAAUUUAAAGGAAAAAAGGAACAUAGCAAGGAGAGAAAUAGAAGACAUAAAAAAGAACCGUAUGGAACUCCUAGACUCGAAGAGCGAGGAGAGUUGCUGCCAGGCUUGCCUUCCAUGUGUUUCGGAGCCGAUGAUGAGCACCCCACCUCCUGCCAGAGAGCUCCUGCAGCCACAGCCGCAGCCGCAGGCCCUGCACUACGCGCUGGCCAACGUGCAGCAGGUGCAGAUCCACCAGAUCGGAGAAGACGGACAGGUGCAAGUAAUCCCACAGGGACACCUCCACAUCGCCAAGGUGCCGCAGGGGGAGCAAGUCCAGAUCACGCAGGACAGCGAGGGCAACCUCCAGAUCCAUCACGUGGGGCAGGAUGGUCAG